AAAAAGAAUACCCCAAAACUCUUGCUGAAAACCCUAGUUCUAGAGAGAGAGAGAGAGGGGAGAGAGAGAAAGAGAAAGAUAACCCUGCAGAAAAUCAGGGAAAUUCAGAGAAAAUACAGGAAAUUCAGAGGGGAACGUAGACUAAGUUGAAGAAGCAGAAAUCAAGGUCCAAAUGGAAGGAGAGCUCCACUAGUUAGGUUCUCCAAGAUACUACCAUUUUGACAUGUAUUGUAGGUUGGCAGGAAGGCAAUAAGGAUACUAAGCGUGUGUUCAGUUUUGGAAAAUGUUGUAUGAAAAGUACAGCCAAAUGUAAAGAUUACUAAAUGAAAAAACGUUUUUUGUCGAAAUUUCCGAUUUCCGUCACCUUCGAAAUCAAAAUGGCACUCAAUUUCCAUCUUGCAAAAUUUCCAUCGAAAUCUCAACGAAUCAUCCAAAAUUUAUCGAAAUCUUGAAAUUUUAGCGGAACUUGUUGAAAUUUUAACUAUACAGUGAAAUUUCGUCAAAAUUCAAAUGAGAGAAUUAGGAGUGAAGUGAAAUUUCUCUCUUUUUAUUUUAUUGAAACAAAAAAUUAUUACAAGUGCUUUUGAAAUUAUAUGAAAAAAUAAACUUACAGUAACAUUUUAUUUAACCAUUCAUGUCUAUAUUAUCAUUAUUUGUACAAUAAAUAAUAUUUAAAUGAUUUAUGAAUUUUAUUUGUAUUAACUGUGUAUAUUUAAUGUACCUUAUCUUAUAAAUAUGUUUGAUACACAUACUAUUUUAUAACUUUUCCACCUCAUACAAAACAUAGAUGUAUUUAAUUUGUAAUAUAUUAGUCCUAAAACUUAUAUUAUUAUACCUUGUAUAUAUAUAUAUGUUUUGUGUUUUCAACGUUCACUCUUAAUUGACUUUUAACUUGGUUCCAAAUGAUGAUUUGUUAAACAAAUUCUUGCCUAGGCCUAAUGACCCCAUUGGUUUUUAGAUGCAGUCACGGCUGGUCAUGUGCCAAAAAAAACUAGGGACGUGAUAAUACACACAGCAUCAACUCAAAGGAAGAGAACACCUGCCAGAUCCAAAUGCCACGCCCUUGGUGUCCUCGUCUUAUGAUCCCAUUUCCCAUGAUACAGAUCUUCAUAUUGCUUUAUGGAGAGGUAAAUGCACCUGUAGCCAUCACCCAAUCUCUAAUUUUGUCUAUUUUUGGUCUGUUGUCACCCUCGUAGAACUCAAUUGUUACCACUUCAUCCAAUGUUUCCCUCCCCAAGUCUGUGUUUAAAUAAUUAUCCUACUCUGGAUGGAAAGCUGCAACGGUUGGAGAUAUGCGUGCCUUAUGAUGAGGCUGUUCAUUGUACACAAUGAAGGUCAAUCCUGACGGCUUUGUGGUUCACUUGAAGACCCAUGUUGUUGGCAAAGGAUAUACUCAAGUUGGACUAUUUUGAUAGAGUCGCCUAACUGCCAUUGGUUCAUUUUUCUAUCUUUUUAGCUACAUCUGGCCAUUGGCCUUCACAUCAGUAAGAUGUGAAAGAAUGGCUUCCUCCCUGGUGAUCUUCAAGAAAUCUACAUGGAGUAACCACAAGUACUUCUUGUUCAGUGGGAGUUAGGAUUAGUCUGUUGGCUAAGAAAUUCUGAUACGGUGUAAAGUAGUCACCCAGAGCAUGGUUUGGUCUUGAGCAGUGUGUAGCAGAUCACUCUAUUGCCUUGCUGCUUCCAGUAGGAUUUUGCUCAUUGUGUAUGUGGAUGAUACUAUGAUUACUGGCAGAAAUAAUCAGGUAUCUAUAGCCUAGUUAUAAAGCCAAAUCAUUAUAAAUCGUUUGAGCAUCAGCCUCCUUUACUCCUUUGAUUUCGCUGAUUUUUAUUAAAUUCAAGCAAUAAGAACCUAUUCUUUAAUUUUUUGUUACUAUUAUGAAAGUUUACUAAUCCACUUCACACCCCCCCCCCCUCCUUGGAUUUGGUGUUUUUAGAAAAACAGAAAUUAAAUGCUUCAAAGUUUGCAGAAACAUGAUCCUUAAGAUGAAAUUCGCCCCACGAGUGGCAAACAGAUACAAAGCAAACUUUGUGGCUGCUUGGCCCUGGUAACACGAUCGAAUGUUUGGUGAUAAUCAAGAUGCCAGUUAUAUUGUGAGCAAUCCAGUGUUUCAUGCGAGGAUAAAACAUAUUGAAGUUGGCAAUCAUUUGCGAGGGAUGUUGUGUUGGUUGUAAGGACUCCCUUCAUGAAACCUGCGAAUCAGUGAGAUGUUUUCACGAAAACCUUAUUUUAAGUUUGCCAAGUCUAAUGAUCAUAAUAAAUAUGGGGUUAGGUGAUAUUUAUGCGCCUCAAUGGGGAGUGUUAGAAGAGAAUAUGUUAUUUUAGUAAUUAGGUUGUGCAAGUGGGGAUAUAUUUGUCAGUAUAUAGAAGGCUGACCUGGAGCUGUAAGAAGACUCCAGGAAACUGCCACCUAAUUUUUCCUCUU
Malania oleifera is the source of this 2423-nucleotide long non-coding RNA. RefSeq lists it as uncharacterized. The transcript has 2 exons. The record is from RefSeq and is a predicted model, not a curated record. Lineage: Eukaryota; Viridiplantae; Streptophyta; Magnoliopsida; Santalales; Ximeniaceae.